UCUAUAUCAACUGAGUUCUUGGA
This 23-nucleotide non-coding RNA is filed under the name Cricetulus griseus (Chinese hamster). The record is from RNAcentral. Lineage: Eukaryota; Metazoa; Chordata; Mammalia; Rodentia; Cricetidae.